This is a long non-coding RNA of Columba livia (rock pigeon), 2066 nucleotides long. RefSeq lists it as uncharacterized. The transcript is spliced from 2 exons. NCBI's taxonomy places the organism in Eukaryota, Metazoa, Chordata, Aves, Columbiformes, Columbidae. The record is from RefSeq and is a predicted model, not a curated record.
AAAUAAGAAUAUUUUUAAGGAAUCUGUUUAAAAUAAGAGAGAACAAAAAGAAACAGUGUGGCCAGCAGGCCCAGGGCAGUGACCGUCCCUGUGCUGGGCACUGUGGGGGCCAAACCUUGGAUCGUGGGUGUAGUUUUGGGCCCCACACGCCAAGAAAGGCCUUGAGGUGCUGGAGCGAGUUGAGAAAAGGGAACAGAGCUGGUGAGGGGCUGGAGCACAAGUGUGAUGGAGCGGCUGAGGGACCUGGGGGUUCAGCUGGAGAACAGGAGCUGAGGGGAGACCUUCUGAUCUCUGAACUGCCUGAAAGGAGCUUGGAGCCAGGGGGGUCGGGCUCUGCUCCCCAGGAACAAGCGCCAGGAGCAGAGGAAACGGCCUCAAGUUGCACCAGGGGAGGUUGAGGUUGGAUGUGGGAACAAUUUCUUCCCCAAAGGGCUGUGGGGCAUUGGAACAGGCUGCCCAGGGCAGUGCUGGAGUCACCAUCCCUGGAGGGCUGGACAGACGGACAUGAGGUUCUCAGGACAUGGGGCAGGGACAGGGGUGGGGGAACAGUUGGAUUCAACUAUCUUAAAGGUCUUUUCCAACCAAAAUGAUUCUGUGAUUCUAAAUCACCCCCACGUUGGUGACCAGAGUGCGGUGAGGAAAAUGGGAGGUUUAAUUAUUUGGGGAGAUCAAGAGCUAAGAAUUACCCGACUCCUCUUCUCCACUCCCCAUCUUCCACAAAAUAAAGGACAGCAAGGAAUAACUAUAUAUUUUUUAUGUAUCUCCCACUGGCUGGUGUUACAUGGCCUAAAAUAUAAGUCAAAUUAUUUAUAGUCAAGGCAUAACAAACAUGUUUAUUAAGCAUUUGGCAGCCCUUAAUACAAAACAACCCAGUGGGCUUUUCAAUGUAAACCCCUUUCCUCUCCCCUCCCUCCAGCUCUGGCUUUACCAUGACCAAGAGCAGAAGGAAUUACAUUAAUCCAGCAGCACAGAUUGAUUAGGAAGGAGUUAAAACGCGCUCGCCCCAUCGGCCGGGGCGCAGACGCGCAGCCCCACGCAGGUUAUCGGCUGCAAAACAUCCCGGUGGCGCUAAAUAUUUCAGAGACGCGGAUUCAGAAAGCGGGGGCCGGGCCAGAUGCUUCGUUCCGCGAUGAAUUAAUAAAGAUGUUCCCUCGGGGAGGGAUUUAGGCUGCAAUUUGGGCUUACUCAGCGCCCCUCGGCAGAUGGGAUGAAUUUGGGUCACACCGGCUGGAAACGGCAACCGGAGGAGCCGGGAGGUUAUUUCCAGGUGGUAAAGCUGCGCUGUGGAAGGAAGGAGAGGAUGCAACGUGGGAACAGCCUCCAGAGGAGCCCGAUCACGGGUUUCCCCGCGUCCCCUGCGGCAAUCGGCUGCUGCUCGGUAAAAGAGAUGGACUUUGAAACUUCCAGUUUGGUUUUCCCCCAUCUGGGUUCUGUCUGUGUCUCACCCGGGGGGGUUUGUCACAGCAAGAAGCUGUCACAGAUCUCUGGCUCGCUGCCCGGCGGAGAUUUCCCAUGUCCCGGCCAAAGCCUUGGGUUUUGGGGCCAAAACAAAGGAUUUUUGCAACUUUCCCGGUGUCUCACGUGCCGUAGGAAACCUGCGGCUCUGCUCGCUGUGGCGGCAGAUGGGGAGAAGCUGGGGGGGUGCCAGUCUCGCUGUCCUCGCGUUGAACCCAGGGGGACACCCCAAUGUUUGUUAUUUCUCUUAUGAACACUCACCUGCUGUUGGGACAGGACGAUAUGUGGCUGGUGGGGGGUAAAAUGAGCUGUUAAAGAGCCCCCAAAUCAUGUUGGAGGCUCCGAGACUCGGUGUCACUGAGGCUGAGCGUGUCCCACGGGCGUCACCAGCAUCUUCCACCCUGCGGGAGAAACGUGCGAGGAGAAAUCUUUCCUUUGACAUGGUUUUCACGGUACUCCCCACACCAGCCUGUCCAAGGGGUGAGAAACCAAAGCGUGUGACCCUGGUCACCCCCGCCCCAAUUCCCCGAUUCCCCAGGGGGUGGUUUGGUGGCGAUCACUCAGCAAACAAAAUCACCAGUGAGAAUCUUCAUUAAAAGCAAAAUACUAUU